UGGGGAAUAUUGGACAAUGGGCGCAAGCCUGAUCCAGCCAUGCCGCGUGAGUGAUGAAGGCCUUAGGGUUGUAAAGCUCUUUUAGCAGGGAAGAUAAUGACGGUACCUGCAGAAAAAGCCCCGGCUAACUUCGUGCCAGCAGCCGCGGUAAUACGAAGGGGGCUAGCGUUGCUCGGAAUCACUGGGCGUAGAGCGCACGUAGGCGGCUUACUAAGUCAGGGGUGAAAUCCUGGAGCUCAACUCCAGAACUGCCUUUGAUACUGGUGAGCUUGAGUUCGGGAGAGGUGAGUGGAACUGCGAGUGUAGAGGUGAAAUUCGUAGAUAUUCGCAAGAACACCAGUGGCGAAGGCGGCUCACUGGCCCGAUACUGACGCUGAGGUGCGAAAGCGUGGGGAGCAAACA
RNAcentral lists this ribosomal RNA (402 nucleotides) under uncultured bacterium. Its description in RNAcentral is "bacterial SSU rRNA". It matches the Rfam family "Bacterial small subunit ribosomal RNA", at positions 355 to 774 of the family's 1533-position model. The record is from RNAcentral.